This 115-nucleotide ribosomal RNA is filed under the name Acanthosepion pharaonis. The record is from RNAcentral. Lineage: Eukaryota; Metazoa; Mollusca; Cephalopoda; Sepiida; Sepiidae.
UUACAGCCAUAUCACGUUAAAACAUCGGUUCUCGUGCGAUCAUCGUAGUUAAGCAACGUCGAGCCUGGUCAGUGCCUAGAUGGGUGACCGCUUGGAAAUACCAGGUGCUGUAAGC